AUACCGGCGCCUCAAGUGGUAGUCGCUUUUAUUGGGCCUAAAACGUCCGUAGCCGGUUUGGUACAUUCGUGGGUAAAUCAAGGCGCUCAACGUCUUGAAUUCUGCGAGCACGGCCAGACUUGGGACCGGGUGAGGUGUGGGGUACUCUCAGGGUAGGGGUAAAAUCCUGUCAUCCUGAGAGGACCACCUGUUGCGAAGGCGCCACACUAGAACGGAUCCGACGGUCAGGGACGAAGCCUAGGGGCACGAACCGGAUUAGAAACCCGAGUAGUCC
This 274-nucleotide ribosomal RNA is filed under the name uncultured bacterium. Its description in RNAcentral is "partial 16S ribosomal RNA". It matches the Rfam family "Archaeal small subunit ribosomal RNA", at positions 473 to 747 of the family's 1478-position model. The record is from RNAcentral.